Molecule: ribosomal RNA, 255 nt
Filed under: uncultured bacterium
Lineage: Bacteria
Description: partial 16S ribosomal RNA
Rfam family: Bacterial small subunit ribosomal RNA
Source: RNAcentral
UACGUAGGGCGCAAGCGUUGUCCGGAAUCAUUGGGCGUAAAGAGCUCGUAGGCGGCCUGUUGCGUCCGCUGUGAAAUCCCGGGGCUUAACCCCGGGCGUGCAGUGGAUACGGGCUGGCUGGAGGCAGGCAGGGGAGAACGGAAUUCCCGGUGUGAGCGGUGAAAUGCGCAGAUAGUCGGGAGGAACACCGGUGGCGAAGGCGGUUCUCUGGGCCUGUACUGACGCUGAGGAGCGAAAGCGUGGGGAGCGAACAGG